This 22102-nucleotide long non-coding RNA is filed under the name Gossypium barbadense (sea-island cotton). RNAcentral's name for it is "long non-coding RNA (GBAR_LNC015286)". The record is from RNAcentral. Lineage: Eukaryota; Viridiplantae; Streptophyta; Magnoliopsida; Malvales; Malvaceae.
CAGGAUGCACCACAGUCCUACAAUCACCAUCCUUUCAAGUUGUUUUAUAUCCACCUCCUCAUCUUCCCCUGCUAUCUUCCCUACCUUACCGGCUUGGUAACAAUCGUAGACCCAUUCUUCAAGGAUAGCUUCUUCGUCCUUGAGGCUCCAAUUUACACUCCGUCGACAACAUAUGAUCUCCAAUAAUACGAUCCCGAAGCUGUAAACAUCUGCUUUCACUGUCACCGGUAGUUUCCUGUGCCACUCUGGUGCAACGUACCCCCUUGUUCCUCUGAUCCCAGUGAAGGUCUUGGUUUGGUCUGGCUUUAGCAACUUGGCCAAUCCGAAAUCGGAUAUUUUCGCUUGCCCGUUUUCGUCCAUUAGUAUGUUCUGAGACUUGAUGUCACAAUGGAUUAUUUGAGUCUCGCAUUCUUCAUGAAGAUAGAGGAGACCUCGAGCUACGUCGCGAGCGAUUUCCACCCUCUCGAUCCAACAAGGUCGUCUUUCGGGUGUAAAGAGUACAUCGGAAAGUGAUCCAUUGAUCAUGUACUCGUAUAUCAAGAGCCUAUUAGCUCCAUCAUGGCAGUAUCCUAGUAGUCGAACUAAGUUUCGAUGAUGAGUUCUCCCAAUGAUUCGCAUCUCGUUUUGGAACUCUCGUUCGCCUUGGUCUGAUAUGUUGUCCAAUCUCUUCACUGCCACAAAUUUUGUUAAACCAUUCAACAUUACCGUCCCUUUGAAAACGGUCCCAAAUGCUCCUUUCCCGAUUUCUUCCUGGAAAUUAUCAGUCAUCGCCUCGAUUUCUGAAAAACUAAACGAAAUAGGAGCAACGUUCUCGCACAAUCUUAUGUUGCUGUCUGUAGAAAACCUUUUGUAUCUGAAAACACGACUCCAAAGAAUCAAAGCCCCAGAAAUUACUAGCACCAUGAUUGCAAAACCAAUCAGUGAAAGCCCUAUAAUUAAAAUAUCCGUAUGAACUUUCCCAUUCCCAUCUUUAGGUUCAUCAGCAUGUUUUCUUGGUUCAUUAAUGGAUGAAUAUAUACCUACCUUGAUCAAAGCGAUGUUUGAAUUGCUAAGAUCCCUUCUCCCAUAUCUCAAAGGAAGCCUUUGCUUCGUGCAUUUUCCAUCAUUAAACAUGGCAGCCUCACAGUUGCAAUCCUCAUAACAUGCUGUCUCACAUUCUUCUCUGGUUGUUGAAGUCACCUCAGAAUAUCCAGUAUCUUCCCAUACAGUGUUUUCAGCUGCCUGAAUGGUAUACUGGAUUUUCCCAUCAUCGUUUUUACAGCUGUCGCUGGAGAAACUCCUCUCGCAGCCAGCAGUGAAAUUUCCUUCUAUAACUGGAGCAAAUCCUGGAAGACAUAUACAAUUAGCUUCGCUAUCUACAUCAACGCAAUAACCAUUAAGCCCACAUAGACCCUUGGGUGCACACUUGUCUGAUGUAGAUGACCAUAUAACUGAUCGAUUGCCGUUCCGAUCGAGUCUGUAAGAAUAGAGUCGAAAGAUGCCAUCGGAAUCAAUUUUCAUCAGAUAAAUUGUUCUAUUUGUAUCAUCAUACCCUCCUGUGGUUAGAUCCUUUAUGUUGAAGCUUGUUGAAUUGAGCAUGUACAAAUGACCAUCAUUGUCGAGAUUCAGGCUCACGUUAUCUCCCUUGCCAUCUGUAAAGGAUGACCAAUAAGAAUAAGGUGCUGUGUCAGGAGUGUCCACAGGGUACUGUACCAAGUUUCCAUCAUGCUGCAUCUUAAGACGAAAUAUACCAGUUGACUGGUCAGUUUCCGAGACACUAGAGACCAGCUCCUUCCCAGCUGAGAGAGGCUGUCCUUGUAGAAUGCUAGUGGUUGGAUAUUGGAAGCUCUGCCAUAUCUUGUCCUCGUCAGAGUUGUAUACAACGAAAUUGCCAGUAUCAAGCAUCGAAGCGGCAGCAAUUUUCUGAGAAGCAUCGGUGACGAUGUAUACGUCUCGUCUUGGCGGUGACUGAAGAAUGAGCCUUCCAUCUGUUGUAAGAACCAAGCUAGCAGUGCUUGGAACAGGAGGAUCAUCUCGGUUGGCAGUCCAAACUACUGUCCUUUGAGGAACUCCAGCAAGGAAAACCCCAACACCAUAGCCCUUACCUUGGGGAUAAAACCCAAAGCCAUAGAGACCAGAAGGGGAUAGCCAUGCGGAUUUACCGGUGGUCGUGGGUGUCAAAGAUGAGCCCAAACGUAUAGUGGAGUUCCUUGGUUGAGCUACUGCAUGCAAAUGAAAGGAAAAGGAACACACAAGGAAAAGAAAUGAAAUGGCGAACAUGGCUAAGGCCUAAAAGGUACAAUAUCCCUAUAGAUUACAGAGCAUAUCGUUAUACAUAUAUAUGGUUUAAUGAGUUUUGAGAGUCAAUACUUUGAAUGAAUUUUCCAUCUUACUUUUUUGAUAGGAUACUUAUCACUAUACAGUUUCGUCCUAGAGAAGUAGGUCAUGACUCAUACGUGUAGAUUUCCAAAGGGGACCAAUCAUCGAUUGGCUACUUUAGUCCACUCAUGAGCUGAUAUAUUUAAUUUGAGAGGAAAAUCUAGCCAUGGUACUUCAGUCCAAUUACAAAUUUUCAAUUUCAACCUUCAACAUAUUUUUAUGUCUUAUCGAUGAAGCAGUCAAACAUGGAAGAUGGUCUCCAUAAUUUCUUUCAAGAAGGGUUCCUGCUCUAACUCAUUUAUCUUUUAGCAGACGAUCGUCUCUUCUUUUGUGAAAAUUCUCAGUUUAUUUUGCCAGUUUUCUAGUCAAAAGUUGAAUAAAAAGAAAUCUCAGAUAUAUUUUUUUCCUAAUACACUUGCUUAUUAGCAUAUAUGAUUUGCAAUGAUGUUGGUAUGGUGCGAAUUGAGGAGUUGGGUAAUUAUCUUGGUAUGCUUUUAUUGCGUAAAAGAGUCACAACGAGUUCAUUUGAUUUUAUAGUGAGUAAUGUUCGGAAUAAGUUGAAUGGAUGGAAAGUUAGGAAGCUCUCUUUAGCAGGCAAAAUAACUUUGGCAAAAUCAGUUCUGCUUGCUAUCCCUAAUUAUUUGGAAUUCAAUACCGUAAACUUUAGACCAUCAAUGUUUAAUUGGAAAAUUUUGAUCAACUUAAGAGUAUUUAUCAAUUAUGCAUUCCUUUAACUACUAACAUAUUUCAAUAAUUAUGAUAUCGAACCAAUUGAAUCGAAUCUAUAUAUGAGUGUAUUAACAUUGUGUUGUACAAGAAACUUGAAAAGUAUUAAUGUAUUGUACAUUUCUUUAAUUAUUAAUGUAAUUGAAUAAGUUAUUAUAUUAAUUGUACAGCCAUUUAUCUAAUUGAAUGAAUCUAUGUAGAAAGGUAAUAGCAUUGUAGUGUAUAAGUAUUUUUAAAAGUAUUUAUUAAUUGUAUGUUCCUCUAAUCACUAGUGCAAUUGAAUAAAUUCUGACAUUAGUUGUACAGUUAUUGAUCUAAUUGAAUAAAUUGUAUAAUUAAUCAUACAAUCAUUGGUCUAAUUGAAUCAGUCUAUGUAAACUCAACAUUGAGUAUACAUGUUUAGAAUUCAAUAUCAUACAGUGAAAUAUAUCAAAACUUUGGACCGCCAAUGUUUAAUUUCAAAUAUUUAAUCAACUUCAGAGUGUUUAUCAAUUAUGUAGUCCUCUAACUACUAACGUAAUUGAAUGAUUAUGACAUUGAACUAAUUAAAUUGAGUCUAUAUAUGAAUGCAGUAACAUUGUGGUCUACAAGUGAUUAGAAAAGUAAUGAUCACUUUUACAUUUCUCUAAUUUUUAACGUAGUUGAAUGAGUUAUAACAUUAAUUGUACAAUCAUUGAUCUAAUUGAACAAAUCUAUGCAUGAAGGUAAUUACAUUGUAGUGUAUAAGUAUUUGUAAGAGUAUUGAUCAAUUGUACAAUUCAUUGUAUAAUCAGUAAUUCAUAAUUGAAUUGGUCCAUGUAAACACAACAUUGAGUAUACAUAUUUGGAGUUCAUUAUCAUAUAGCGAAAUAUAGUAAAACUUUGGACCACCGAUGUUUAAUUUCAGAUUUUGUAUUAAUUUAAAAGUAUUGAUCAAUUAUACACUCUUCUAACUACUAACGUUAUUGAAUAAUUAUGACAUCAAUUAUAUAAUCAUUGAUCCAAUUUAAUGAAUUAUACAAUUAAUCAAACAACCAUUUCAAUCAGUGUAUAAAUGUAUUACCAUUGUAACCAAUGAGUAAUUCUCGUGGAUCAUUUUAGGUUUAGGUCAUAUUGGGUUAUGAUUAUUUCUCGUUUAAUCAUUCAAUUUUCAUUUAAUAUAAGGAUUUGUUUUGAAUUAGAUAAGUUUAAAAUUAAGUUACUUGCAUGAUUUAGAGUUGAUUAUUAAAGUCAAUAAAGUCUAAUUUAUUAAUUUUAAAAUAAAAUUAAAUCAAAGUUAGAUAAGUUAUUUAAUUGGUUUAAAUUAAUUAUAAAAGUAAUAAUUAUCAUAAAUAAUUUUGAAAUAAAUAUAAUCAACUACUAUAAAUUUAGAUUAAUUAAUUCAUAAUAUAUAAAACCAUAAAAAGUAAAACUUUUUUAAUAGAUAAAAAUAAUUAUUGUUAUUUACAUUGUUUUGAAAUGUUCAUGAUAAAUAUUUUAUUGUUAAUAAUUUUUUUAAUCUCAAAUUUUAAUGUUUUUAGUUAAUAACAUUAUUUUAAUUAAAAAAAAUUUAGGAUAAGCAUAAAUCAGUUAUAUUUUUAGAAUUUAAAACAUAAGUAAAAAAUAAAAACAAAAAUUUGUCAAAAUAAAUUUUUAAAUAAAUUAGAAUCAAAAUUAAAUUAAAAUUUUUCAAAGUAAAAUAAAAUAAAAAUAAAAAUAAUUUUUUUGAGAUUUUGAAAUAUAUCAAUUUUUUUUUGAAUUUUUCAUCAUAUUUUGAUAAUUUCUCUUCACUUAUUAAUUUUACUUGAGAAUAAAUAGAUAAAAUAUAAUUUUUAUCAGUAUUUAUUGUUUUUGAAAAAAAUUUUCUCAAGACCAUAUGAUAUAAGUCGAAAUUGCAUAUUUUAUUAUAAUAGACAAUAAUAAUUAUAUUUAAAAAUUAUUAAAAUAAAAUAAAAUUUUAAUUUAUAAAUAUUUUUUAUUAAUUUUUUGAGAACAUUUACUUAAUUAAGUUUGGGUCACUUUCAAGUUUCAUUCAAAAUUGAUAAAUUUAUACUAUUAGUAUAUCAACCAUAUGUGAAUAGUAAAUCAAUUGUAAUUGGAAGGGAUAAUAAAUUAAAAUAAUGUUUAUAAUUUAAUUUGAUAGGACCACUUUUUUUUUUCUUUUGACAAAUGGGUGGAGAAAUUUUUUUUUAGGUAAUAGUUAUGGGAUCUUGUUGGUAUGAUUAGAGGUGUUCAAAUUUCAGUUAAAAUCGAAUUAAUCGAUCAAAUUAAUUUAAUUCGAUUAAUUUAUCGGUUAAUUGAUCUAUUUCGGUUGGAGAUAAAUUAAAUUUUUUUUGAAAAUUCAAUUAACGGUUAAUUCGGUCCAAAAUUAGGUAAUUAACCGAAUUAACCGAACUUAAUAAAUAAUAUUAUUUAUUAUAUAUAUUAGGCUAUUACUAAUUCGGUUAAUUCUAUCAAAUGAAUAUUAUCAAUUUUUUUAUAUAUUUUAUACUUAUUUUAAUAAAAAACAAAACAUAUAAAUUUCAGUUAAAACUAAAAUAUUUCGAUUCGAUUAAUUUAUUUUGAAAAAAAUUGGUUCAAUUAAUGGUUAAAGAAUUAGAAUUUUUAAUUAAUUUAAUUAAUACUAAUUUAGUUCGAUCAACCAUUUAAAUACCCCUAAAUGUAAUUAUACUCUAAUUUCGAUCAACCACAUUUCUCAAAAAAGUUAAUUUGGUAUCAUUCAAGGUUAUUCUGUAUUGCUUUUGUGAAACUUAAUAUAAGCUUUUACAUUGAAUUCCCAUCUUAUUAAGUAGAUGUCACCUCAUAUUUCGAUAAAAAAAAUACAUAUAAAAAUAUAAAUAAAUGAAUAUUCAUUUUCUAAAAUUUAUUUAUUAAAUAUUUUUUUAAAUCUACAAAAAAUAUUUCAAACUUUUCCUUUUCUAUUUUUACUUUAUAAAUAAUAAUUUAUUUAUUAUACAUUUAGUCUUGUUCCUUAGCUCUCACUAAUUUUGUUGAGCACUAGGCACUACCUUCGCUUAUAACUACCGAUACCAAUAGAGGUGAUCACAGGUUGGGUUGAGUUUGGUCCAAGUCUCAAUAGAAUUUUAAGCAUGUUUUCUAGGCUUGAGUUCGAUCCGAAAAAUGGGCUUAAAAUUUUGCCUAAGCUUAACCUGAAUAAAAAUGCUAAAACUUGAACCCGACCCGACCCACUCGUACUAAAUUUUUUUAUAUUAUUAUUUUUAUAUAAAAAUGAAUUUAAAAAUAUAAUAUAUCAAAAGAACUAAAAACAUUAAAAUAAACAUUUUUCAAUAAAUUGAAAAUAAAUUUAAAAAUUAUUUAUACUUAAAUAACACUAAGAUAGAUGUAACUUAUAGCAAACAAACACCUCUAAAGUAGCAGCAAAAUUAACAAAUAAAACAAGUGUUAUACAAUAUCUAAACAAUAACAAUAAAAUAGUAGCAAUGUAAUAGAGAAACGACACCAAAAUAGUGACAAAACAUCAACAAAAAUAGUGAAAAUAACAGCAAAAAGCAACAUUUUUAUUUUUUACAAAUUCGCGUUGGACAGGGCUCGAGACAGGAAAAGCUUACCCAAAGCCUGACCUAUUUAGAAAACUGGCUUCGCUUUUUUGCCCAAACCCAUUUUUCAAACCUAUAGUUUUGCCCAAAUCCUCCUUUUCGGGCGGGCCUUUGGGCUAGACUGAGUGGUUUGACCGAGAAUCAAGUCUAUCAUCGAUUUCCACAUCUUUCAUCAUUGUGCCAUCCAACUAGGAAUCAAUUAUGGAGGGGUCUCCAAGACUUCAUUAUCACAUGAAUACCCCCAAUUCUGCCUGUCCUCAGAUUGUAGUUAGAAGUGAGCAUUCGAUCGAAUCGAGUGAAAAAAUUUCAAGUUGACAAGUCAUAUUUUAUCAUCCUAACUCGAUUUAACUUUUUUUUUUUCAAAUUGAGUAGAGUGAAAUGAAAUUCGAGCCGAACCGAGUGAAAUUGUUCGAGUUAAAUUAAAAAAUUGAACAUGUCAAAUUAAAAUAUUGUUAUAGUAUAACUAAUUCCAUGUUAGAGUACAUAAAUUUCAAACCAUAUAUAUUUCGACAUAAUAAAAAAAUAAGAUAUUUUAGUAUGAUAAACUUGAAUUAUUAAUUAACUUAUUUAGGUCCCAAUUGUAAUAGCCCGAUUUUAGGCUUAGUCGGAACAGUGGUUUCGGGACCACAAAUCCGACGAAAAAAAAUGUAAUGGCUUGAAUUUUCAGAGGUGUCGGAACGGUGAUUCGAUAUCACUAAAUUCGACAAAUGGGUAGAAAAUAUUAUUAAUUUAGUAAGUAUAAGUUAAAUAUGAAGUUAGGAAAAUUUUUGAAAUAGUGAAUAGUGCACUAGAAAUAAAUAUUAAAAUAAUUAGAAUCGAAAUGAGGUAUCAAGACCUCGGGGAUUUUAAACUGAGCCAUAAAUAUUUUUAUAAAUAUUUAUGGAGUGUUAAAAAGUUAGUAUUAAAGUUUCGUUAAGAAAUUUUAAAGUUCCGAUAAUUAAUUGAAUAAAAAGGAUUAAAUUGUAACAAAUGCAAAAUUUUGAGAAAUGAUUAAAUAGCUUAAAUGAUAAAAGGAAGAGGGCUUAAAUGAUUAAAUAGCCCAAGGUCUAUUUGGGCUGGACGGCAGAGGCAUGAAAUCAGCAAGAAAGUAAGGAGAAUUAAGGGAAAAAUUGGAAAAUUGCAAAAUUUGCUUAAUAAAGUUAGGACCCAAGUGGAAUUAUCUAGAUUUCUCUUCAUUUUUCUGAAUUCUCAUCAGCUAAAACACCAUGGAAGGGCUUCUUCAAGCUGGUUCUUCAUAUUUUUAUUACAAGUAAGUUCAAUUCUUGACUAUUUCUUGAAAUUUUUGUAUUUUUAUGACUUUUACAACUAGGCCCACUUGUUAAAUUCAUUAGUUUUUGAUUUUAUGAAAGAAGUUGAAAGUUGAUAUGAAUAUGUGCUGGAAGUAUAUGAUGAUUUAGCAUGAAAUUAGAGCUUUAAAUUGUUCAUAUGCUGAUUUUAUUGAAAGAAUUGAAUAGAAAGUGAAUGUUUGGGACCUAAUAGUAAAAGAGUUUGAAGAUAGAGUUAUAUGUGGAAAUUCUGAAUUUCAAUAGUUGUGUAAUAACUUAUAAUGUCUAGUAAAGUACUAAUUGAGAAAAUUAGAUUAAUUGAGGGGUUAAUUGAGAAAGGACCGAAUUGUAUAAACUGUGAAAUUUGGGGCAAAAUGGAAAUCAACAUUUUGCACUAAAGCAGUUUUGGACAGCAGCAGUAGUGUAACUUUGAAAAAUCACCAAAAAUUUUAGAGAUUGAAUUAGAGGAUGAAUAAAAUAUGAAACUAAAGCUUAUUGAGUCUAGUUUCUUAUAAAAGAAAUGAUGUGAGCAAUGGAAUUGUAAAUCAUGAGAUAUAAUAGAUUUUGUGAGACAAGGUCAGAAUGAAUUCGGGUUCCCCUGUUCUGACUUUGGAAAAUCAUUAAAAAUUGUACAAAAAUUAUUAUGAGUUAUAGCUUAUAUGGUUAGAAUCCUUAAUGAGUCUAUUUUUAGAAAAAACAAGCUAAAACAUCAUCUGAAUUCUGUACAAUGAGAUAAUUAAUUUUUAGUGAAGAGUGGUCGGAACUGUCAGACAGCGAAACAGGGGAAACUUUAAAGAAUAAACUGUACUAUUUUGCUGAACCAAAAAUUAUGAAAAUUUUAUGGUAUGAAGAUAUGUGAGUAUAGUUUCAGGGAAAAUUAAUGGAUCUUAAUUUGGAGCUCUGUAUCUCCGGAUAAAAAUAAUUUAGUGACUCUGACUCGGAUAAACAGCUUUGAAUAUACAUGUUAGUGAAUAUUGAAAUUAUGGUUAAUGUUGUUUAAGUGUAUUAUACACAUUAAGGAUGUGGAAUGGAGAGGAGGAGGAGGAAAAUUGGGAAAUAUAUGAAUGAUUCGUGUAUAAAUGGUCAUAUGUUUGAUUAUAACUCAUAAACGAUGAAAUAUGAAUGAUGCUUAUUUUUGUGCAUUAUUGGUCAUGGUUUAAGCUCAUGUGUGAAAAUAAAGUUUCAUAGUAUGUGUGUAUGGUAUAUUCAGUAUAUGAUUUGGCAUGAAAUAAUACCAUGAAUGGUUUAUGAAUUAACACAUGUUGGUAAGCCUGAUAUAUGAAUAAAUGAUCAAAUUGAGCGGAACGCCGGAUUUGAGUACUUCUGAUCAAGUGCAAAGUGAUAAGUGGUAGCUUUAGCUACACUUAUCUGAUCAAGUGACAAGUGGAAAGUGAUAAGUAAUAGCUUCGGCUAUACUUAUCUGAUCAAGUGACAAAGUGAUAAGUGAUAGCUUCGGCUAUACUUAUCUAAUCAAGUGACAAAGUGAUAAGUGAUAAGUGAUAGCUUCAGCUACACUUAUCUGAUCAAGUGACAAGUGGAAAGUGAUAAGUGAUAGCUUCGGCUACACUUAUCUGAUCAAGUGACAAGUGAAAAGUGAUAAGUGAUAGCUUCGGCUAUACUUAUCUGAUCAAGAGACAAAGUGAUAAGUGAUAGCUUUAGCUACACUUAUCUGAUUAAGAGACAAAGUGAUAAGUGGCUACACUUAUCUGAUCAAGAAACAAAGUGAUAGGUGGCUACACUUAUCUGAUCAGGGACAAGUGAUAAGUGAUCAUACGUAAGACCAUAGUUAUACUAUGGCAAAGUGAAAGUGAAGUACUCAAUUUUCCAUGACCGUUCCCUAAUUUGAUUAAGGAUGGUAAGUGACAAAUGGGCCCAAAAGAAUUAAAGUAAAUGGAUAAGUGGUAGUGUAUUUAUAUCAGGACGAUGUUGUUAUUCAAACUAAAGUGAUAUUUUCAUUGCUAAAUUGAGAAUUUCAUAAAUGUGUUAUUGAAUGGUAUAAUCAAUAAACAUUGAGUUAAAUGGUAAAUACGUAUUAGUUUUGAAUUUGAUGUCAUUGAAUUGUACGUGAAUUAAAUGGAAAUUGCUAGUGAUAUGAUUUAAAUUAUGAGCAUGAGAAAUUGCGAAUUGAAUGAAAUGGAAAUGAAGCAUUAAAUUGCAUGAGUAUGUAUCGGGUCUCGCAGGCCCUAAUUAUUAUGAUUAUAAUAUUUUGAGGAUAUAUUGUGAAAAGUUAUAGAAACAUGUUAAUUAUUUUGAAAGUUUUAAUUUUGAUGAAAUUUUAUAACUCGGUUAAAUACGUUUACAAGUGUAUGUGUUUUGGUAAUGCCUCGAACCCUAUUCCGGUGUUGGAUACGGGUAAGGGGUGUUACACCAAUAUUAUUAUUUUAGAAAAUUUUUAAAAAAUUUUAAAAUUAUAUAUUCUUUAUAUAUGUUUCAAAAUUUUUAAAAUUUUUUAAAAACAUAAAAUUUGAAAUUUUAUAAAUAUUUUGAAUUUUUAAAAAUUAUUUUGAAUUUGUUUUGUAUUUUUUGUUGGGAGAGAGAUACCAAUUUGCUCAUUUUCAAAUUGACAGGGAUUCAGAAAGGUAUUUACACCAAUCUAUUAUUUAGAUUAUUCGAGUUAUUCGAAUUGUAAAAUUCAACUCGAUUUGAACUCGAAACUCAAAUUACUUAUUCGAGUUAACUCGAAUAACUCGAUUCGAUUAAUUUGAAAUCUGAAUUUAUUUUCAAUUUUUUUCUAAUCGAAUCGAGAUUUGCUCAUCCCUAAUUGUGAUUUUUGAACCAACUUAAACAUGGUGAUCAUCAAUGUUGAAAAAGAAAGGAAAAAAAAAUAAAUAUAUUUAAGUCUUCUUUAUAGCUUUUCCCCCCGAAUUGUUUUAUUUAUGAAAUUAUUAUUGUAAUAAAAGAAUUCGUGUUAGAAAAGUACGUAGAAAAAUGGGUAUUCAUUUAUUUAUAAAUAUUUUAUUGAUAAUUUGUAUGUAUUUUUAUAAAUUUUAUAUCUUUUAAUCAAAAAAUAAACUUUUAAAUAUAUAUUUACUUUUUUUAUUUUUGAAAUUUUAAGAAUCAAAAUUUAAAAGAAUGUGUAAAGUUAAGGGUUAAAUUUGUUGAAUUUUUAAAAUUAGGACCAAAUUGAUAGAAUAUAUAAACACUGGAGAGCUAAAUUUGUUAUUAUGUCAAUAACAAAAACGAUUUUCUUUGGUGAUUUAACAUGUGAGUAUUAAAUUUUGAUAAUGUUAGUGACUUAAAUAAAAAAAAAAUUAAAUAUAAAUGACCAAAAUAAAAAUAUAUUAAUAGUUAAGUGAUUAUUUUUACAAGUUAUCCCAAAGAAAAUAUAAAUAUGGUUUAAACGCCAAUUAAUCGUCUAAAAUACGGACCAUAACUUAAUUUCAAUGCAAGACUAGAGUCUUGAUCACUUCGUCGUACCUAUGGAAGUUAACAAAUGUGGGAUUUUCUUUUUGAGAAAAUAUAAGUGGUUUACUUUUGGUCACAUUAUCAGUUUCUCCUUCUUCUCAUGCUCAACUUUUGUCAAUAUUUUGGAACCACUUGUGUUUGUUUAAGGUUAAAUUUUGCUCUUAGUCCCUGUACUUUGUGAAAGUUAUGAAUUUAGUUUUUGUAUUUAAAUUUGAUCAAUUUUAGUCACUAUACUUUUCAAAUUUUAGAAUUUUAGUCCUAACCCAAAUACUAUUAGUUAAAUUCAUUUUAUUAAACUCAAUUACUAGUUCUAUACUUUGCAUGCUAUUGCAGAAUUUAUCUAUAUUAUCCAAUUGGAUCACUUCAACUUUCUAUAUUGUUCGAAUUUUGAAUGAUUGUCAUUAAUCCGUUACAUGGAUUUGUAGUGAGUAUUAUAUGAAAAUACCAAGCUAACAUGGAAUUACACAUAUGAUAAUGUGUUCGGCAAAUCAGAUUUUGAAAAUAGAAAAUUUUAACUUAAUGAAUUAACAAUAAUUGUUUGGUGAGGAUUGAAGUUUUAAAAUUUAAAAGGUAUAGGAACUAAAAUUGAUCAAAUUAAAGUACCGAGACUAAAUACAAAACUUUCACAAAGUAAAGGGACUAACAUCAGAAUUUAAUCUCUGUUUAACGCACCCCUGAAAGAAACAUUCCUCUGAAAAGUCCUUGCAAACAAGGAAACUUAAAAAGUGGGAACACAUCCAUCUUGUACUCCAUUGCUUGUGCCUCUAAUGGUAAAAACCUUAUUGCUUAACAAGUUCGAAAGUUCAUAUAAUCCGGUAAUGAGUCGUUUUAUUAUUACAAUCAAUAGCAGUAAGGACCAAAUCGUUGGGGGUUCAUUAAUAUUACAAGCUUGAUUUAUUGGAGAUGAUAUUGCACAAGAAAUCAUCAAUUUCAGGAAAUACAAAAUAAAGAGGAAAAUGUGAAGCAAAUAUAAUAUCUAAAAUACAUGACACAACUAAAUAGAACUGAAAAAUGAAGUCGGGCAGGGAGGUACGGGGAUCUCAACUGUCCCUUCCAACAUCAACAGUACCUUCUUCAUGGAAGGGCGCAGUGUUGGUUCAUCCAGGAUGCACCACAGUCCUACAAUCACCAUCCUUUCAAGUUGUUUUAUAUCCACCUCCUCAUCUUCCCCUACUAUCUUCCCUACCUCACCGGCUUGGUAACAAUCGUAGACCCAUUCUUCAAGGAUAGCUUCUUUUUCCUUGAGGCUCCAAUUUACACUCCGUCGACAACAUAUGAUCUCCAAUAAUACGAUCCCGAAGCUGUAAACAUCUGCUUUCACUGUCACCGGUAGUUUCCUGUGCCACUCUGGUGCAACGUAACCCCUUGUUCCUCUGAUCCCAGUGAAGGUCUUGGUUUGGUCUGGCUUUAGCAACUUGGCCAAUCCGAAAUCGGAUAUUUUCGCUUGCCCGUUUCCGUCCAUUAGUAUGUUCUGAGACUUGAUGUCACAAUGGAUUAUUUGAGUCUCGCAUUCUUCAUGAAGAUAGAGGAGACCUCGAGCUACGUCGCGAGCGAUUUCCACCCUAUCGAUCCAACAAGGUCGUCUUUCGGGUGUAAAGAGUACAUCGAAAAGUGAUCCAUUGAUCAUGUACUUGUUGGCAUAAUAAUUAUCUAAAUAUUUCUGAUAAUAUUGUUAUUAAUAUUAUCGUCGCUUCCGCAACAAUUGGUAUCAGAGCCAAGGUUUUGUAGUAUGCUCUGUGUUUGCAGCUUAGUCUGAUCUUACACAUCAGAAACAUUUCCUAAAGCUUGUGGGUAUUCUGCAUUUGGUGGCUAUUAAGUAGAAGCUAUGGCAAAAAUGACAGAAGAAAAACCUUCCAUAUCAACAACUUCCACUUCGUACAUUUUGCCAAGGAUUGGAACUGCAAAUACGAGAUUUGUAGUGGAAAUUUUUGAUGGAACAGGUCAUUUCGGCAUGUGGCAAAGUGAGCUUCUAGAUGCCCUCUUUCAACAGGGUCUAGAUAUUGCUAUUGAGGAAGAAAAACCAGAAGGGUUGAUGAUAAAGAAUGGAAGACCAUCAACCGAUUGGCAUGUGGUACAAUUCGAUCAUGUCUUUCCAGAGAGCAGAAGUAUACAUUCAGUAAAGAGACUUCUGCAAGUAAAUUGUGGAAAGCAUUGGAGGAGAAAUUCUUGAAGAAGAACAGUCAAAAUAAGUUGCAUAUGAAGAAAAGACUGUUUCGUUUCAAUUAUGUUCCUGGUACCACGAUGAACGAGCACAUUACCAAUUUUAAUCAGCUGGUGGCUGAUUUGUUGAAUUUGGAUGUGACUUUUGAAGACGAAGACUUGGCGUUAAUGUUGUUGGGAUCGCUUCCUGAGGAGUUUGAGUACCUUGAAACUACUCUACUUCAUGGAAAAUCGGAAGUAACUUUCAAUGAAGUAACUGCUGCAUUGUAUAGCUAUGAACUACGCCGAAAGGAUAAGUUGAAAGGUUCAGGUGAAGCAGCAGUGGAAGCAUUGGUAACAAGAGGUCGUCAGCAAAGUCAGUCUAAGGGGAAGAGAAGAAAGUCCAAAGGUCGAGCUGUUGCCAAAGAUGAAUGUUCUUUUUGCAAAGAAAAAGGACAUUGGAAGAAAGAUUGUCCAAAAUUGAAGAAAAAAUGGAAGACUCCGCAAGAUGCAAAUGUUGCAGAAUGCAAUAGUGAAGCAGAGUCAGACUUUUCUCUUAGUAUGACAUCUUCAACAUUAUAUGCAGAUGAGUGGAUCAUGGAUUCUGGUUGUUCCUAUCAUAUGUGUCCCAUUCGGGAAUGGUUCUUUGAAUUUCAAAAACUAGAUGAAAGGGUUGUUUACAUGGGUAAUGAUAACACAUGUAAAAUAGCCGGGAUAGGUUCAAUUAAACUGAGGAGUCAUGAUGGAUCUACUAGAAUUUUGCGGGAUGUACGAUAUGUCCCAAAGUUGAAGAAGAAUCUCAUCUCUUUGGGGUCGUUAGAAUCUGAAGGCCUAGUUGUGACAAUACGAGAUGGAGUUCUUAAAGCAACUUCAGGCGCAUUGGUGAUGUUGAAAGGCAUAAGAAAGAACAAUCUGUAUUACUACCAAGGUAGUACAGUGGUUGGGACAACAGCAGCAGCAAUUUCGAGUACCAAGAAGGACGCUGAGGCAACACAGCUGUGGCAUAUGCGUUUGGGCCAUGCUGGUGAAAAAUCCUUGCAAACUCUAUUAUUGAAAGGUACAAAGACUUGCAAACUUGAAUUUUGCGAGCAUUGUGUUCUGGGAAAACAACGAAGGGUGAAAUUUGGCACUGGGAUUCACAAUACUAAAGGUAUUCUGGAUUAUGUGCAUUCUGAUGUAUGGGGACCGUCCAAGACUCCAUCACUUGGAGGAAGACGUUAUUUUGUCACCUUUAUUGAUGAUUUUUCCAGACGAGUUUGGGUGUUUCCUAUGAAGAACAAAGAUGAGGUGCUUGAAGUUUUCCUUAAGUGGAAAACUAAAGUUGAAAAUCAGACAGGAAGGAAGAUUAAGGUUCUCCGAUCAGACAACGGUGGAGAAUAUAAAAGCGAUCCAUUCCUGAAGAUAUGCCAAGAUUGUGGCAUAGUAAGGCACUUCACCGUAGGUGGAACACCGCAACAGAAUGGGGUGGCAGAGCGUAUGAAUCGAACGCUUGUGGAGAAAGUUCGAUGUAUGUUAUCUAAUGCUGGAUUAGAUAGAAAGUUUUGGACUGAGGCUGUGACGUACGCUCAACAUCUCAUCAAUCAUUUGCCAUCAUCUGCUAUAAAUGGCAAGACUCCUUUGGAGAAAUGGUAUGGAAAACCUGCUACUGAUUAUGACACCUUGCGCAUUUUUGGUUCUAUUGCAUAUUAUCAUGUGAAAGAAUCAAAGUUAGAUCCAAGAGCAAAGAAGGCUCUAUUCAUGGGCUUCAAUGCUGGUGUUAAGGGAUAUCGUUUGUGGUGUCUAGAGGCAAAGAAGACGAUAAUCAGUAGGGAUGUUACCUUUCAUGAAUCUGCCAUGUUGAAUAAGGUAAAUCCAGAAGGAGUGAGUAGUACUUCGCAGCAGGUGGAGUGUACUCCGCAGCAGGUGGAGUUUGAGCAGAGUGUGGUAAUUCCAGCAGAAGGUACCACUAGUGAUUCUUCAUUGGCAGAUGCAGAGUCAGAUGAGGAAGAGGUUUCUACCCAAGAACCUCAACAGCAAUCAGAGCCAAUUGCAGUCAGAAGGCAGAGACGAGAAAUUCAGAAACCUGCUCGUUUCACUGACAUGGUAGCUUAUGCACUUCCAGUUGUUGAUAAUAUUCCAUCCACUUACACCAAAGCCAUUCAGAGUUUAGAGAAUAAUAGAUGGUUAGGUGCAAUGGAAGAGGAAAUGCAAUCUCUAGAGAAAAACAAGACGUGGAAGCUGGCACAACUACCAAAAGGGAAGAAGGCGAUUGGUUGCAAAUUUGAAGACACUAUUGAAGUUAGUGUUAUGAGAAGAUGUUCGAAGAUGUGGAAUAUCGCCAAGGUGGAGAUUUGUUGAAUAUUGGCAAUAUCCCACAUUAGGAAAAGAUAGAAAGGGAGGGGGUUUGGUUUGUUAUAUAUAGAACCCCUCCCCCUUUGGUUUUAUCAUCCCAAAAUCUUCUCCUUUGUAAUAUUUCUAGAAGAAAUAUUAAUUUGGUAGUGUCCGAGGACGUAAGCUAAAUUGGCCGAACCUCGUUAAAUCUCUGGUAUUUUAUUUCUUAUUUGUUUGCUUAUAUUUAAUAGCUUUAUGUUGGUUAUAUUUAUUUAGUUAUUAUUGCUAUAAAUAUCUAAGUGAGUUCUGUCUAGUUGUUGGGUUUUAAGCGGGACCAUUUGUGACCCCUCCAAUUUAACUGGGAAUUUUCUUAGUAUAAUUGUUGGCAUAAUAAUUAUCUAAAUAUUUCUGAUAAUAUUGUUAUUAAUAUUAUCGUCGCUUCCGCAACAGUACUCGUAUAUCAACAGCCUAUUAGCUCCAUCAUGGCAGUAUCCUAGUAUUCGAACUAAAUUUCGAUGAUGAGUUAUCCCAAUGAUUCGCAUCUCGUUUUGAAACUCUCGUUUGCCUUGGUUUGAUAUGUUGUCCAAUCUCUUCACUGCCACAACUUUUGUUAAACCAUUCAACAUUACCGUCCCUUUGAAAACGGUCCCAAAUGUUCCUUUCCCGAUUUCUUCGUGGAAAUUAUCAGUCAUCGCCUCGAUUUCUGCAAAACUAAACGAAAUAGGAGCAACGUUCUCGCACAAUCUUAUGCUGCUGUCUGUAGAAAACCUUUUGUAUCUGAAAACACGACUCCAAAGAAUCAAAGCCCCAGAAAUUACUAGCACCAUGAUUGCAAAACCAAUCAGUGAAAGCCCUAUAAUUAAAAUAUCCGUAUGAACUUUCCCAUUCCCAUCUUUAGGUUCAUCAGCAUGUUUUCUUGGUUCAUUAAUGGAUGAAUAUAUACCUACCUUGAUCAAAGCGAUGUUUGAAUUGCUAAGGUUCCUUCUCCCAUAUCUCAAAGGAAGCCUUUGCUUCGUGCAGUUUCCAUCAUUAAACAUGGCAGCCUCACAGUUGCAAUCCUCAUAGCAUGCUGUCUCACAUUCUUCUCUGGUUGUUGAAGUCACCUCAGAAUAUCCAGUAUCUUCCCAUACAGUGUUUUCAGCUGCCUGAAUGGUAUACUGGAUUUUCCCAUCAUCGUUUUUACAGCUGUCGCUGGAGAAACUCCUCUCGCAGCCAGCAGUGAAAUUUCCUUCUAUAACUGGAGCAAAUCCUGGAAGACAUCUACAAUUAGCUUCUCUAUCUACAUCAACGCAAUAACCAUUAAGCCCACAUAGACCCUUGGGUGCACACUUGUCUGACGUAGAUGACCAUAUAACUGAUCGAUUGCCGUUCCGAUCGAAUCUGUAAGAAUAGAGUCGAAAGAUGCCAUCGGAAUCAAUUUUUAUCAGAUAAAUUGUUCUAUUUGUAUCAUCAUACCCUCCUGUGGUUAGAUCCUUUAUGUUGAAGCCUGUUGAAUUGAGCAUGUACAAAUGACCAUCAUUGUCGAGAUUCAGGCUCACGUUAUCUCCCUUACCAUCUGUAAAGGAUGACCAAUAAGAAUAAGGUGCUGUGUCAGGAGUGUCCACAGGGUACUGUACCAAGUUUCCAUCAUGCUGCAUCUUAAGACGAAAUAUACCAGUUGACUGGUCAGUUUCCGAGACACUAGAGAACAGCUCCAUCCCUUCUGAGAGACGCUGUCCUUGUAGAAUGCUAGUGGUUGGAUAUUGGAAGCUCUGCCAUAUAAUGUCCUCGCCAGAGUUGAAUACAACGAAAUUGCCCGUAUCAAGCACCGAAGCUGCAGCAAUUUUCUGAGAAGCAUUUGUGACGAUGUAUACGUCUCGUCUUGGCAGUGACUGAAGAAUAAGCCUUCCAUCGGUUGUAAGAACUAAGCUAGCAGUGCUUGGAACAGGAGGAGCAUCUCGGUUGGCUGUCCAAACCACUGUCCUUUGAGGAACUCCAGCAAGGAAAACCCCAACACCAUAGCCCUUACUUUGGGGAUAAAACCCAAAGCCAUAGAGACCAGAAGGGGAUAGCCAUGCGGAUUUGCCGGUGGUAGUGGGUGUCAAAGAUGAGCCCAAACGUAUAGUGGAGUUCCAUGGUUGAGCUACUGCAUGGAAAUGAAAGGAAAAGAAGCACACAAGGAAAAUAAAUGAGAUGGCGACCAUGGCUGAGGCCUAAAUGGUAUAAUAUCCCUUUAGAUUACAGGGCAUAUCGUUUUAUAUAUAUGGUUUAACAAGGUUUGAUUGUUAAUACAUUGAAUGAAAUUUCCCAUCUUACUUUUUUGAUAGGAUAGUUAUCACGGUUUUUUACAAAAAUAAUACAAAAAAAUAAAAAAAAAAUCAAAAUAAUACAAGUAUUUUAUUAUGUACCAAAAUGAUACAAACAGGAGUAGAGGGACUGCUAGCACCGCCCCCUUAUAUUAAUUUAGUGUGUUUUUUUAUAAAUUUAGUAAAAAACCUUUAUUUUAGUUAUCUGUUCGUAUUUUUUUUAUUUUCAGAUUAUUUUAUUUUAUAUUAUUUUAGUACAUAAUAUUUGAAAUGUAUUAUUUUAGUGUUUUUUAUAUAAAUUUAGUGAAACCCUUAUUUUGUCCUUUUGUUCGUAUUUUUCUCUUUUUUUUUUUAGAUUUUAUUACUUUCAGUAAAUAUACUAUUUUCAUUUUUUAUUUCUUUUCGUAUUUUAUUUUUUCAUAAACAUAUUUUUUCGGUAUUUUAUUUUUAAUACUAUUUUUGUAAAAAAAUCUCAUUACAACAUGCUAAAUAAAUUUCAUAAAAAAUAUAUCUAAUCAACAUAAAACACACUUAACAAAUAAAUUAAAUUAAAUAAUAAAACAUAGAAUGUACAUAACAUAAAUAAUAAAACAUAGAAUGUACAUAAGACAAAAAGUAAAUUUAAAACCAAUCACAUUAUAAUAAUAACAACAAAAAUAAAAUACGAAAAGACAUAAAAAAUGAAAAUAGUAUAUUUACUGAAAGUAAUAAAAACUGAAAAAAAAGAGAGAAAAAUACGAACAAAGGGCCAAAAUAAGGGUUUUUCACUAAAUUUAUAUAAAAACACACACUAAAAUAAUACAUUUCAAACAUUAUGUACUAAAAUAAUAUAAAAUAAUAAAAUUCAAAAAUAAGAAAAAUAUGAACAAAUGACCAAAAUAAGAGUUUUUUUACUAAAUUUAUAAAAAAACACACUAAAUUAAUAUAAAGGGGCGGUGCCACCUGUAGCAGUCCCUCCACUCCUGUUUGUACUAUUUUGGUACAUAAUAAAAUGUUUGUAUUAUUUUAAUAUUUUUAUUAAUUGUUUUGUAUUAUUUUUGUAAAAAAUCCUCACUAUGCAGUUUCGUCCUAGAGAAGUUGGUCAUGACUCAUAUGCGUAGAUUUCCAAAGGGGACCAAUCAUCGAUUGGCUACUUCAGUCCACUCAUGAGCUGAUAUUUAUAAUUUGAGAGGAAAAUCUAGCCAUGGUACUUCAGUCCAAUUACAAAUUUUCAAUUUCAACCUUCAACAUAUUUUUACAUCUUAUCGAUGAAGCAGUCAAACACGGAAGAUGGUCUCAGUUUAUUUUGCCAUUUUUCUAGUCAAAAGGUGAAUAAAAAGAAAUCUCAGAUAUAGUUAUGGGAUCGUGAUGGUGUGAUUAGAGGUAUUCAAAUUUUGAUUAAAAUUAAAUUUAUUAAUUAAACUGAUGUAAUUCGAUUAAUCUAUCGGUUAAUUGAUCUAGUUCGGUUGGAGUUCAAUUAAAAGUUUUUUGAAAAUUCAUUUAACUGUUAAUUCGGUUCGAAAUCAGGUAAUUAACUGGUAAUUAAUCGAAUUAACCGAAAUUAAUAAAUAAUAUUAUGUAUUAUAUGUAUUAGGCUAUUACUAAUUCGGUUAAUUCGAUCAAAUAAACAUUAUCAAUUUUUUAUAUCUUUUAUACUUAUUUUAAUAAAAAAAAACAAAACAUAUAAAUUUCGGUUAAAACUAAAAUAUUUCGGUUCGAUUAAUUUUUUUAGAAAAUAAUUUAGUUCGAUUAAUGGUUAAAGAAUUAAAAUUUUUAGUUAAUUCGAUUAAUACUAAUUUAGUUCGAUUAACCAUUUGAACACCCUUAAAUAUAAUUAUACUCGAUUUUCAGUCACUCACAUUUCUCGAAAAAUUUAAUUUGGUAUCAUUCAAGGUUAUACUGUAUUGCUUUUGUGAAACUUAAUGUAAGCUUUUACAUUGAAUUGGAUCUCACCAGAUCCCAUCUCAUUAAAUAGAUGUCAUCUCAUAUUUCGGUAAAAAAAAAUACAUAUAAAAAUAUAAAUAAAUGAAUAUUCAUUUUUCAAAUUUUAUUUAUUAAUUUUUUUUAAAAUCUACAAAGAAUAUUUCAAACUUUUCCCUUUUUAUUUUAUAAAUAAUAAUUUAUUUAUUAUACAUUUAGUCUUGUUCCUUAGCUCUCACUAAUUUUGUUGAGCACUGGGCACUACCUUCGCCCACAACCACCGAUACUAAUAACUCUUAUUUCGAAUUAGAGGUUAUCAUGGGUUGGGUUGAAUUUGGGCCGAGUCUCAAUAGAAUUUUAAGCCUAUUUUCUAGGCUCGAGUCCAAUCUGAAAAAUGGGCUUAAAAUUUUGCCUAAGCUUAACCUAGAUAAAAAUACCAAAACUUGAGUCUGACCCGGCCCACUUGUACUAAAUUUUUUAUAUUAUUAUUUUUAUAUAAAAGCGAAUUUAAAAAUAUAAUAUAUCAAAUAAACUAAAAACAUUAAAAUAAAUGUUUUCCGAUAAAUUGAAAAUAAAUUUAAAAAUUAUUUAUACUUAAAUAACACUAAGAUAGGUGUAACUUAGCAAACAAAUACCUCUAAAGUGGUGGCAAAAUUAACAAUAAAACAAGAGUUAUACAAUAUUCAAAAAUAACAACAAAAUAGUAACAAUGUAAUAGCGAAACGACACCAAAAUAGUGACAAAACAUCAACAAAAAUAGUGAAAAUAAUAGCAAAAAGCAACAAUUUUUUUUUUGGCAAAUUUGCGUCGGACAGGGCCCGAUACAAAAAAAGCUUACCCAAAGCCUGCCUUGUUCAGAUAACGGUCUUCGUUUUUUUACCCAAACCCAUUUUUCAAGCCUAUAUUUUUACUCAAAUCCUCUCACUUUGUUAAAGUGAGUAUUCUAUCAUCGAUUUCCACAUCUUUCGCCAUUGUGCCAGGAAUCAAUUGUGGAGGGGUCUCCAAGACUUCAUUAUCAAGUCUUGGUCAACUCGUCAAACCUAUGGAAGCUAAUAAAUGUGGGAUUUUCCUUUUGAGAAAAUAUAAGUGGUUUACUUUUGGUCACAUUAUCAGUUUGUCUUUCUUCUCAUGCUCAACUUUUGUCAAUAUUCUGGAACCACUUGUGUUUGUUUAAGGUUAAAUUUUGCUCUUAGUCCCUGUACUUUGUGAAAGUUAUGAAUUUAGUUUUUGUAUUUAAAUUUGAUCAAUUUUAGUCACUAUACUUUUCAAAUUUUAGAAUUUUAGUCCUAACCCAAAUACUAUUAGUUAAAUUCAUUUUAUUAAACUAAAUUACUAGUUCUAUACUUUGCAUGCUAUUGCAGAUUUUAUCUAUAUUAUCCAAUCAGAUCAUUUCAACUUAAUUUCUAUAUUGUUCGAAUUUUGAAUGAUUGUCAUUAAUCCGUUACUUGGAUUCGUAGUGAGUAUUAUAUGGAAAUACCAAGCUAACAUGGAAUUACACAUAUGAUAAUAUGUUCGGCACAUCAGAUUUUGAAAAUAGAAAAUUUUAACUUAAUGAAUUAACAAUAAUUGUUUGGUGAGGAUUGAAGUCUUAAAAUUUGAAAGGUAUAGGAACUAAAAUUGAUCAAAUUAAAGUAUAGAGACUAAAUACACAACUUUCACAAAGUAAAGGGACUAACAUCACAAUUUAAUCUCUGUUUAACGCACCCCUGAAAGAAACAUUCUUCUGAAAAGUCCUUGCAUACAAGGGAGCUUAAAAAGUGGGAACACAUCCAUCUUGUACUCCUUUGCUUGUGCCUCUAAUGGUGAAAGUUCAUAUAAUCCGGCAAUGAGUCGUUUUAUUAUUACAAUCAGUAGCAGUAAGGACCAAAUCGUUGGGGGUUCAUUAAUAUUACAAGCUUGAUUUAUUGGAGAUGAUAGUGCACAAGAAAUCAUCAAUUUCAGGAAAUAAAAAAUAAAGAGGAAACAGUGAAGCAAAUAUAAUAUCUAAAAUACAUGACACAACUAAAUAGAACUGAAAAAUAAAGUUGGGUAGGGAGGUACGGGGAUCUCAACUGUCCCUUCCAACAUCAACAGUACCUUCUUCAUGGAAGGGCGCAGUGUUGGUUCAUCCAGGAUGCACCACAGUCCUACAAUCACCAUCCUUUCAAGUUGUUUUAUAUCCACCUCCUCAUCUUCCCCUACUAUCUUCCCUACCUCACCG